This 207-nucleotide ribosomal RNA is filed under the name uncultured bacterium. RNAcentral's name for it is "partial 16S ribosomal RNA". It matches the Rfam family "Bacterial small subunit ribosomal RNA", at positions 568 to 774 of the family's 1533-position model. The record is from RNAcentral.
UGCGUAGGCGGUUGAUUAAGUCUGCUGUGAAAGCCCCGGGCUCAACCUGGGAACUGCAGUGGAUACUGGUCAGCUAGAGUGUGUCAGAGGAUGGUGGAAUUCCCGGUGUAGCGGUGAAAUGCGUAGAGAUCGGGAGGAACAUCAGUGGCGAAGGCGGCCAUCUGGGACAACACUGACGCUGAGGCACGAAAGCGUGGGGAGCAAACG